AUUGCUUCUUGGCCUUUUGGCUGAGGUCAGCUGUACUGUCUGUUCUGAUACGUUUAAUAUCUGAUAUGUUCUCUGUCCGAGGACAGUCUUCUAAAUGGAUUUAUUAAUAAGUUCAUAAGGAAGAGAUACAGCUGGUACAGCAUUAUUUUAGCUUCAGGAUAUAGCAGUG
Molecule: small nuclear RNA, 169 nt
Gene: U2
Rfam family: U2 spliceosomal RNA
About the family: U2 is a small nuclear RNA (snRNA) component of the spliceosome (involved in pre-mRNA splicing). Complementary binding between U2 snRNA (in an area lying towards the 5' end but 3' to hairpin I) and the branchpoint sequence (BPS) of the intron results the bulging out of an unpaired adenosine, on the BPS, which initiates a nucleophilic attack at the intronic 5' splice site, thus starting the first of two transesterification reactions that mediate splicing.
Source: Ensembl